GAAGAAGGACCUGCACAUGGUGCUUAUCGACUUGGAGAAGGCGUAUGACAAGGUCCCAAGGGAGGUGCUAUGAAGGUGCUUGGAGGCGAAGAGCGUACCGGAAGUAAGGCUGUACUAUGAACCGGUUCCGAACCGGAACCGGAUCGGAACCGUGGCCCUGCUGGUUCUACCGGUUCCGAUGGGCUGGUUCCGGCGGUUUCGGUUCUAUCGGUUCCAGGGAACCGUGAUAGGCCG
This 234-nucleotide long non-coding RNA is filed under the name Nicotiana benthamiana. RNAcentral describes it as "long non-coding RNA (NBEN_LNC020940)". Lineage: Eukaryota; Viridiplantae; Streptophyta; Magnoliopsida; Solanales; Solanaceae. The record is from RNAcentral.